CCCAGUUCGGAUUGUAGUCUGCAACCCGACUACAUGAAGCUGGAAUCGCUAGUAAUCGCGAAUCAGAAUGUCGCGGUGAAUACGUUCCCGGGUCUUGUACACACCGCCCGUCACACCAUGGGAGUCGGAAAUGCCCAAAGUCAGUGACCUAACCGAAAGGGAGGAGCUGCCGAAGGUGGAGCCGGUAACUGGGGUGAAGUCGUAACAAGGUACC
Molecule: ribosomal RNA, 214 nt
Filed under: uncultured bacterium
Lineage: Bacteria
Description: partial 16S ribosomal RNA
Rfam family: Bacterial small subunit ribosomal RNA
Source: RNAcentral